RNAcentral lists this transfer RNA (377 nucleotides) under Natronomonas pharaonis. The stretch from base 96 to 167 matches the Rfam family "tRNA". The record is from RNAcentral. Lineage: Archaea; Methanobacteriati; Methanobacteriota; Halobacteria; Halobacteriales; Natronomonadaceae.
AACGUCCGGGACUGAGGCAUUGUCCUCAGCCCACCUUUGGCCUAUCGGCCUCGAUGCGUGACCGACCGAGCACCUUUGAACUGCCAAGGCUGGUAGGGCCCAUAGCUCAGUGGUAGAGUGCCUCCUUUGCAAGGAGGAUGCCCUGGGUUCGAAUCCCAGUGGGUCCAUCUCACGUGCCCGAUUCGAAUCGUGUCCCUUAAGUGGGAGACGUGGUACAAUCCGGGUACGAAGAACCGAUGCACCACUCCGUGCAAGCGCGAGUGGGAAGGGUGGACACACAUGCGCAGUCGACGGAUGUGUGAAUGAGACCGUGUGUACGUGCGAUCCAGACGCUCACUGGACCCGUUUCAUCGGGUUUAUGAGCGAUCUAUCAUUAC